RNAcentral lists this ribosomal RNA (253 nucleotides) under uncultured bacterium. Its description in RNAcentral is "partial 16S ribosomal RNA". It matches the Rfam family "Bacterial small subunit ribosomal RNA", at positions 524 to 776 of the family's 1533-position model. The record is from RNAcentral.
UACGUAGGCUGCUAGCGUUGUCCGGAUUUACUGGGCGUAAAGCGCGCGCAGGCGGCACCCUAAGUACGAUGUGAAAUCUCCCUGCUCACCUGGGAGUAUGCAUUGUAAACUGAGGAGCUAGAGGACGGUAGAGGGGGGUAGAAUUGCUGGUGUAGCGGUGAAAUGCGUAGAGAUCAGCAGGAAUACCCGUGGCGAAGGCGGCCCCCUGGGCCGAACCUGACGCUGAGGCGCGAAGGCGAGGGGAGCGAACGGG